CCCUUAGAUGUUCGGGGCCGCACGCGCGCUACACUGAUGCACUCAACGAGUUUACGACCUUGCCCGAUAGGGUUGGGUAAUCUUUUUAAAAUGCAUCGUGAUGGGGAUAGAUUAUUGCAAUUAUUAAUCUUCAACGAGGAAUUCCUAGUAAGCGCGAGUCAUCAGCUCGUGCUGAUUACGUCCCUGCCCUUUGUACACACCGCCCGUCGCUCCUACCGAUUGAGUGCUCAGGUGAAUAAUUCGGACUGCAGCAAUGUUUGGAUCCCGAACGUUGCAGCGGAAAGUUUAGUGAACCUUAUCACUUAGAGGAAGGAGAAGUCGUAACA
RNAcentral lists this ribosomal RNA (326 nucleotides) under uncultured eukaryote. RNAcentral's name for it is "partial 18S ribosomal RNA". It matches the Rfam family "Eukaryotic small subunit ribosomal RNA", at positions 1470 to 1796 of the family's 1831-position model. The record is from RNAcentral.